Molecule: ribosomal RNA, 486 nt
Filed under: uncultured bacterium
Lineage: Bacteria
Description: partial 16S ribosomal RNA
Rfam family: Bacterial small subunit ribosomal RNA
Source: RNAcentral
AUUGAACGCUGGCGGCAUGCCUUACACAUGCAAGUCGAACGGCAGCACGGGUGCUUGCACCUGGUGGCGAGUGGCGAACGGGUGAGUAAUACAUCGGAACAUGUCCUGUAGUGGGGGAUAGCCCGGCGAAAGCCGGAUUAAUACCGCAUACGAUCUACGGAUGAAAGCGGGGGACCUUCGGGCCUCGCGCUUUAGGGUUGGCCGAUGGCGGAUUAGCUAGUUGGUGGGGUAAAGGCCUACCAAGGCGACGAUCAGUAGCUGGUCUGAGAGGACGACCAGCCACACUGGAACUGAGACACGGCCCAGACUCCUACGGGAGGCAGCAGUGGGGAAUGUUGGACAAUGGGCGAAAGCCUGAUCCAGCAAUGCCGCGUGUGUGAAGAAGGCCUUCGGGUUGUAAAGCACUUUUGUCCGGAAAGAAAUCCUUGGCCCUAAUACGGUCGGGGGAUGACGGUACCGGAAGAAUAAGCACCGGCUAACUACGUG